CCUACGGGGUGCAGCAGUGGGGGAUAUUGCACAAUGGGGGAAACCCUGAUGCAGCGACGCCGCGUGUGGGAAGACGGUCUUCUGGAUUGUAAACCACUGUCCCCAGGGACGAAAAUGACGGUACCUGGGGAGGAAGCUCCGGCUAACUACGUGCCAGCAGCCGCGGUAAUACGUAGGGAGCAAGCGUUGUCCGGAAUUACUGGGUGUAAAGGGAGCGUAGGCGGGGAUGCAAGUUGGGUGUCAAAACUACCGGCUCAACCGAUAGUCGCACUCAAAACUGCAACUCUUGAGUGAAGUAGAGGCAGGCGGAAUGCCUAGUGUAGCGGUGAAAUGCGUAGAUAUUAGGAGGAACACCAGUGGCGAAGGCGGCCUGCUGGGCUUUUACUGACGCUGAGGCUCGAAAGUGUGGGGAGCAAACAGGAUUAGAUACCCGAGUAGUC
Molecule: ribosomal RNA, 440 nt
Filed under: uncultured bacterium
Lineage: Bacteria
Description: partial 16S ribosomal RNA
Rfam family: Bacterial small subunit ribosomal RNA
Source: RNAcentral